UUGAGAUGCUGGCCAAGAUAAAUAAAAUGUGAUUUCCAGGACAUUAGGGAAGGAAACAGACUACAAUCCAAAAUCCAUGGCAAAUAUUGGCAAGACUUUACUGUACAGAGCACCUUUCUGAAGCUUCAGCUUUUUUCUGUGGUCAGCACAAUUGAGUAGGGAGAGCUGUAAGCUGGAAGUAGAAAUAAAGGCUGGCAUUAUAGUAGUAACCUUCACUCCUCUUAUUCAACAGGUAUAUGUGGUAUAACUUCUACAAAUGUGGAAAAGUGCAAAAUUUCAGAGACAGAGAAGGCAGAGGGAAAGUAGACGAGACCACACCACUGAUACUUCCUUCAACUCAGUGGGGGCCAGGUUUGAACCUUGGUUCUGCACAUGUCCAAACAACACACUAUCCAGAAGAAAUAGAGGAACCAAGGAUGUGCACAUGGUAGAGGCCACACAUUAACAUGCAUGAAGAUUCAGGUUCAUGUCUUGGCCCUCACCUACAUGGAGAAAGUUUCACAAAUGGUGAAGCAGGGCCACAGGUAUCUCUUUCUUCUUUCCUCUCCAUAUUUAUCAUGUAUUUCUCUCUGUCUUUAUACAAAAAAGUGGUCAUGGGAGUCGGGCUAAGUGCACGUGGAAUGAAGCACAAGAACUGGCAUAAGGAUCCCAGUUAAGCCCCCGGGUACCCACCUGAAGGGGAGUCGCUUCACAGGUGGUGAAACAAAUCUUCAGGUGUCUAUCUUUCUCUCCCCCUCUAUUUCUCUUUCCCUCUUCUCUCCAUUUCUCUCUGUCCUAUUUAAAAAUGAUGACAUCAGUAACAACAACAAUAAUAACUACAACAAUAAUAAAAAACAACAAAUAAACAAAUUUAAAAAAUUAAAAAAAAACAAAAGUGGUCACUUGGAGGGGUGGAGGCAUCGUGAAAGCACUAAGUCCUGACAAUAACUAUGAUGACAGAAAUGAA
Molecule: long non-coding RNA, 946 nt
Organism: Erinaceus europaeus (western European hedgehog)
Lineage: Eukaryota; Metazoa; Chordata; Mammalia; Eulipotyphla; Erinaceidae
Exons: 3
Source: RefSeq, a predicted model, not a curated record